This 1116-nucleotide ribosomal RNA is filed under the name Triticum aestivum (bread wheat). RNAcentral's name for it is "partial small subunit ribosomal RNA". Lineage: Eukaryota; Viridiplantae; Streptophyta; Magnoliopsida; Poales; Poaceae. The record is from RNAcentral.
AUGGUAUACACAAGGAAAGGGAAUACCUUGUUGAGGACAGUAGAUGAACUAAUUGAGCCCAACACUAAAUCAUGGGAUGAGGCGUUGAUUAGGAGCAUUUUCUUACCGGUGGACUCUGAGAGAAUCUUGAGAAUUCCUUUGUCUGAGCACUUAGCGGAGGACUUUGUGGCGUGGCACAAUACGAAAUCAUAUCUAUUUACAGUUCGAUCAGCGUAUUAUACGAAUUGGGAACACCAAUUCGGCUCUAGAGUGACUAGCAUUGAAGGACCAUCAUCAGUAAAUCCUGUAUGGGCCGCGGUUUGGAAUCUUCAAGUUCCCGGCAAAGUUAAAAUAUACAUUUGGAGGGCGCUUCGUGGUGUAAUUCCGGGGAUGUGUGUUCUGGCUAAUCGACACAUUAAAGUCCCACCUCAGUGCCCUAUUUGUAAAGGUGGUGCGGAGGACAUCAGGCAUCUGUUGUUUACUUGCACAAGAGCUCGAACAGUUUGGAAAGCGCUAGGGAUUGCUCAUCUUGUUGAUAAGGCCCUUGCUGUAGACCUCUUUGGUUCGGUGGUACUUGAGGAAAUAUUGAGAUGGCCGAAACAGAAGUCCCCAGUGAUUGGACAACUCGGAUUACAAGAAACGGUGGCAGUCGGUGCAUGGUAUAUUUGGUGGGAGAGACACGAGGCAAUAAAAGGUCAAAAAAUCAAACCACCAAUAUGCUCAGCUUUCUCUAUACAGGCGAUCACAGCUAAUUAUGCCGGUAAAAUCCUAGAUGACGCCAUGGAAAUUACAAGAUGGGAGAAGCCGACGAGCGGAUCAUAUAAGGUAAAUACCGAUGCAGCUUUCUUUGAAGAUGGAUCGGGUGCUGUGGAUGCAGUUGUCCGCGAUUCGAGAGGUCGUGCUGUUGCGGGGGUAGCCGAGUUGAUCCAUCAGGUGCAUGAUGCAGCCUCGGCAGAAGCAAUGGCAGUUAAGCGCGGCCUACAAUUGAUUCUUGACAUCGGAUGUUCGCGUGUACUCAUGGAAUCAGAUUGUCUUGAGAUUGUUCAAGCAUGCAAAGGAGACACUGACAUCCGAGCUCCAUACUCAGCGAUCUUGGCGGAUUGUUUUGAUUUAGCACAUGGAAUAACAUUGCCCUAG